CUUAGAAGUGAGGAAACAGGCUCCAAAAGCUUGUUACUUGCUUGUAGUCAAACAGAAGGCAGAGCUGCGAAUCAAAUCCAGGUUUGUCUCGACAUGCCACUAGCUCAUACUUCCCUUGGAUCAGCCACUAAAUGGCUUUCACUCCAGUGAGCAGCGACCAGCACCAGAAUUAUGGAACAUUUAUCAACAGCCUAAAAUAAAGACAACACGAGGAGAAUUUGGUUGCUUAUAUAGAUUCAAGGUACAAUCCUGCUGGAUUCUGGGAUUACAGGACUGUAGACAAAAGAGAAAUCAUCAUGGACUGUUCACUGGACAAAAUUUCAUGGAGAGGAGAAGACCUUUGGCGGUUCAUGGAUGUUCUAUAAUAAGUUAGAAUCUCGGAAUCUCGCUCUGUCGCCCAGGCUGGAGUGCAGUGGUGCAAUCUUGGCUCACUGCAAGCUCCACCUCCUGGAUUCCUGCCAUUCUCCUGCCUCAGCCUCCCGAGUAGCUGGGACUACAGGCACCUGCCACCAUGAAGAAAUAUCACAGUGUGCAUGCACAGAAGUACGACCAUGUGAAGAGGUAGCAAGAGAGCAGCAAUCUACAAGCCAAGGAAAGAGGCCACAGAGGAAACCAACCCUGCCAGCAUCUUGAUCUUGGACUUCCAGCUUCCAGAACUAACCAGGGACCCCACUCCCAUGCCGACAGUAUGGGCUGCUGUCUUCAGGACCAUUGCAAGUGUCCUUCACGGUUCGGUUCACAUUUCACAAGCCCCAUGAAGUCUAUCUGGAUUUUCGAUGGAUGUCUUGCCUUUUCCUCUACACACUACAGGAAGAGUGGCCACCCCUGCCAAGGGCCUAGUAUAGUACCCUAUACAUGUAGCUGAUCAGUUGAUUGUUACUGAUCAUAUGUAUCCUGCAUCAUGUUAUAAAAAAUUAACACAGUGCUUGGCACAUACUUGUACUGAAUGUCAGAGCUGCAGCAUGAUCUGGAGGCUUUCCUCGCUUUCUUCUGCUUCCCCUCCCUUGAUCCUUCACAGGCAUUUUCCUCAAUACAUCUCUUGCCUGGCUA
RNAcentral lists this long non-coding RNA (1050 nucleotides) under Homo sapiens (human). Its description in RNAcentral is "non-protein coding LINC01359:1". The record is from RNAcentral. Lineage: Eukaryota; Metazoa; Chordata; Mammalia; Primates; Hominidae.